This 99-nucleotide non-coding RNA is filed under the name unclassified sequences. RNAcentral describes it as "DUF1874 RNA". It matches the Rfam family "DUF1874 RNA". From Rfam's summary of the family: Hot springs metagenome only. Environment (Bison Hot Springs, Yellowstone) The record is from RNAcentral.
GUCAGUCCCGUAGGGAGAAGGUCAUCCACAGGUAAGACCGUCCAAAAGGGCGGCGCCUUCUCCCUCCUGCCAAAAGGGCAGGCUUGCGGGAAAGGAGGU